RNAcentral lists this ribosomal RNA (406 nucleotides) under Antheminia lunulata. RNAcentral describes it as "partial 16S ribosomal RNA". The record is from RNAcentral. Lineage: Eukaryota; Metazoa; Arthropoda; Insecta; Hemiptera; Pentatomidae.
CAAAAACAUGUCUUAAUGAUUAUUAGUCUAUAUUAAGUCUAGCCUGCUCAAUGAUUAAAAUUAAAUAGCCGCAGUAUUUUGACUGUGCGAAGGUAGCAUAAUCAUUUGUCUUUUAAUUGGAGGCUUGUAUGAAUGGUUGGAUGAGGGAAUUACUUUCUUUAUAUUAUUUAAUUGAAUUUAAUUUUUAAGUUAGAAAGCUAAAAUUUUUAAGUGGGACGAGAAGACCCUAUAGAAUUUUAUUCAUUAUGUAUAAUUUUUAUUUUGGUAUUUAAUUAUUAAUUGUUUUUUAUGAAUUUUGUUGGGGUGACAUUGAGAUUUAUAUAACUCUCAUAUAUUAAUUUUUACUAUUAAGUAUUUUUGGGAUCCUGUUUUAUGGAUAAUUAGUUUAAAUUACCUUAGGGAUAAC